UUAAAUAGAGACAAAUUUGCAAGAGAAAAAUUACAAAAUGGAACCGUAAGCGUACACGUGCAGCCAAUCUGGUAAUUGCAGGUGGCCUACCUACACGGAUUUCGUCCGUAACGUGUCCUUCGGAUGUUCUUUUCAAACUCUCUCCAACAAAUCAUCAAACAAGCAAAAGAUGAAAAUAAGUUACAAAAAAAGAAAAAAGAAAAAAGAGGAAUAUAACCACCUUCAUAUUUCUUGUACAAUUUGUUCUUGAAAAAGAAGGGAAUAUCACCUUUCCUGUUCCUUGCCGCCCCACUUCUCUUUUACUUUCAGACAAUACGCAUUCAUAUCUUUCUUGCAUGUAUGCAUGAAGAAUCACAAGAAUAAAAUAUUCCGAAACUUUUUUUUUAAGCAACAAAAUAAGUGAAAAAAAAACUCUUUAUUUGUGUUUGACUCUCCCUUCGUAUAUUUGGGUUUUCUUGAAUUCACUGCACCGAGUUUAAUGGUGGAGGUGCCAGUGGAUUUUGAGGUGGAAAUAGAGGGGGAAACUGGGGAUGCGAAAGCUAUUGAGGGUGUUCUGGGGAUUUCACAGACAAAUCCCAGUUCCAGCUGCACAGG
This 594-nucleotide long non-coding RNA is filed under the name Olea europaea (common olive). RNAcentral describes it as "long non-coding RNA (OEUR_LNC000219)". Lineage: Eukaryota; Viridiplantae; Streptophyta; Magnoliopsida; Lamiales; Oleaceae. The record is from RNAcentral.